GCACUACUGAAGAGUCCCACAAUAGGACAAAACGGCCGUCCAGUGC
This is a non-coding RNA of Schistosoma mansoni, 46 nucleotides long. NCBI's taxonomy places the organism in Eukaryota, Metazoa, Platyhelminthes, Trematoda, Strigeidida, Schistosomatidae. The record is from Rfam.